AGCUGGUCUGAGUUCAGUGGUGUUUACAACUAAUUGAUCACAACCAGUUACAGAUUUCUUUGUUCCUUCUCCACUCCCGUUGCUUCACUUGACUAGCCUUUA
RNAcentral lists this Y RNA (102 nucleotides) under Callithrix jacchus (white-tufted-ear marmoset). RNAcentral's name for it is "Y RNA (ENSCJAG00000081532.1)". It matches the Rfam family "Y RNA". Rfam says of the family: Y RNAs are components of the Ro ribonucleoprotein particle (Ro RNP), in association with Ro60 and La proteins. Lineage: Eukaryota; Metazoa; Chordata; Mammalia; Primates; Cebidae. The record is from Rfam by way of RNAcentral.